Molecule: non-coding RNA, 72 nt
Organism: Streptomyces sp. Mg1
Lineage: Bacteria; Bacillati; Actinomycetota; Actinomycetes; Kitasatosporales; Streptomycetaceae
Rfam family: ASpks TB sRNA
Source: Rfam
CUUGACCGAGCCCAGCCAGAGCGGGCGUUGCCGCGACUCCCGCCCGUAGACGGCCAGGAACGCCUCCGCCUC